UCAGGUUCUUGAGCGGUGAGGCCAGAGCGCUGAGUUCAGAGCUCAGCAAUCUGAGCAAAACGGUCAGACCCUUGGGUUCCGAGCCCAGCAGUCUGAGC
RNAcentral lists this transfer RNA (98 nucleotides) under Zoogloea ramigera. RNAcentral describes it as "tRNA-Leu". Lineage: Bacteria; Pseudomonadati; Pseudomonadota; Betaproteobacteria; Rhodocyclales; Zoogloeaceae. The record is from RNAcentral.